Molecule: unclassified non-coding RNA, 204 nt
Filed under: plant metagenome
Description: partial contains small subunit ribosomal RNA and internal transcribed spacer 1
Rfam family: Eukaryotic small subunit ribosomal RNA (bases 1-46)
Source: RNAcentral
AAGUCGUAACAAGGUUUCCGUAGGUGAACCUGCGGAAGGAUCAUUACUGGGUUAGCCUUUGGGCGCAACUCCACCCUUUGUAACCGCGGCCCGGAUUCGGCGCCUGGCGGGGAUGAUCGCCCGUCCGCGGGCGGCCCCGCCUGCCGGAAUUAGCCAACCCUGCCUAGAAAACUGAAGUCUGAGAACAAGUUAAAUUAAACAAAA